UCUGUAUAAAAGGCGCUGACAUUUCUGUAUUUUAUUUUGUAAUGUUGGUUUAGAGAGUAUCCUAGGAAGUGACGUAAGUCGGAGUUUAGUGCUGUGCUCUGCUCAUGGGAGCAAUUUAAUAUACUUCCGGGUCAGUUUGCUGCGUUCUCAGCAUGUGAGACCGCAUUCAUGUUGUAGUGUUGAGAAGUGAUGCUCCGAGUGUUAAGUUGAUGACGGAAAACUGCUGGCAACACUGAGCAUCACUACGAAUAAACCAGUUCGCAUCUAAGUCAA
This is a long non-coding RNA of Xiphophorus couchianus (Monterrey platyfish), 273 nucleotides long. RefSeq lists it as uncharacterized. The transcript is spliced from 2 exons. The record is from RefSeq and is a predicted model, not a curated record. Lineage: Eukaryota; Metazoa; Chordata; Actinopteri; Cyprinodontiformes; Poeciliidae.